CAGAUGUACCUCUUUUCUGCCUUCCUAUGGGAGCUACUAUUGAGUGCUGGGAUCCUGAAACCAAAUAUCCACUUCCAGUUUUUUCAACUUUUGUCUUGACAGGUUCUUCAGCCAAAAAGGUAUAUGGAGCUGCCAUUCAGUUUUAUGAACCUUACUCUCGGGAACUUCUAUCAGAGAAACAGCUUAUGCACCUGGGCUUGUUGACGCCUGUGGAGAGAAAAAUGGUCUCCAAAUCCAUCAAUACAAACAAAUGCAUUUGUUUACUCUCACACUGGCCUUUUUUUGAAGCUUUUAGGAAAUUUCUUAUGUUUAUCUACAAACUUUCUGUGUCUGGACCACAUCCUCUUCCCAUUGAAAAGCACAUUUCACAUUUUAUGCAAAACAUCCCUUUUCCUUCACCACAAAGACCGAGAAUCCUUGUCCAGCUGUCAGUCCAUGAUGCAUUAAUAUUAUCACAGCCAGUUUCUACACCUUUACCACUAAGUGGAGCCAACUUUAGCACCUUGCUAAUGAAUCUGGGUCCUGAGAAUUGUGCAACACUGCUGCUCUUUGUUUUACUUGAGAGUAAAAUUCUGCUGCAUUCUCUUAGGCCAGCUGUCUUGACUGGGGUAGCUGAAGCUGUUGUAGCUAUGAUCUUUCCAUUUCAGUGGCAAUGCCCAUAUAUUCCCCUUUGUCCUCUUUCACUGGCUGCAGUGCUUAGUGCACCUUUACCAUUUAUAGUUGGAGUUGACUCAAGGUAUUUUGAUCUUCAUGACCCACCACAAGAUGUUGUUUGCAUUGACUUGGAUACGAACAUGUUAUAUGUAUCAGAUGAAAAGAAGAACAUGAACUGGAAGCAACUUCCCAAAAAGCCGUGCAAAAAUCUACUUAGCACCUUAAAGAAAUUGUAUCCCCAGCUGUCUUCAGUUCACCGAAAAACUCAAGAAGGCUCAGCGAUUGACAUGACUCCAAUUGAAGCAGAUUUCUCCUGGCAAAAGAAGAUGACACAGCUUGAGAUGGAAAUUCAAGAGGCAUUUUUGCGCUUUAUGGCGUCUAUUUUAAAAGGAUAUAGAACAUAUCUCAGACCAAUCACAGAGGCUCCUUCAAAUAAAGCCACAGCUGCUGAUUCAUUGUUUGACCGACAGGGAUUUUUAAAAAGUCGAGAUCGUGCCUAUGCAAAAUUCUAUACCCUUUUAUCCAAAACACAGAUUUUUAUUCGUUUCAUUGAAGAAUGCAGUUUUGUAAGUGAUAAAGAUACUGGAUUAGCAUUUUUUGAUGACUGCAUAGAAAAGUUGUUUCCUGAUAAAGGCACAGAGAAAACAGAUAAGGUUGAUUUUGAUUCAGCAGAAGAUACCAGAUUGAUAGAACUAGAUGAUUCACAGAAAAGUGAGCAUACUGUAUUUAUAAUGCCGCCAGAGCCACCUCCUGAUGAUGGAAAGGACCUGUCACCAAAGUACAGUUACAAAUACUUUCCAAGACUGGACCUUAAGCUUUUUGACAGACCGCAGGAGUUGAAACUUUGUUUUAGUAGACACCCUACUGGGAAUAGCAUUACAAAGAGUCCAGCUCUCAUGGCUAAGAGAACUAAACAGGAAAUAAAAACAGCUCAUAAAUUGGCGAAGAGAUGUUAUACAAAUCCACCACAGUGGGCCAAGUGUCUGUUUAGUCAUUGUUACAGUUUAUGGUUUAUUUGUCUUCCGGCCUAUGUUAGAGUUUCUCAUCCUAAAGUCAGAGCACUUCAGCAGGCAUAUGAUGUACUUAUUAAGAUGAGGAAAACAGAUGUGGAUCCCUUAGAUGAGGCAAGUGUGCUAUCGAGUAGUGAUGCAGCUUUGUGGACUUUGGGGUCAUCCUGUUUUAGCAGUGAGAGUCUUAUUUGAAAUGAAAACUGCUAGGAUAAAGCCUAAUGCUAUUACUUAUGGUUAUUAUAAUAAGGUAGUCUUGGAGAGCCCGUGGCCUAGCAGUACCCGCAGUGGUAUCUUCUUAUGGACGAAGGUACGGAAUGUGGUACGUGGCUUGGCACAGUUUAGGCAGCCACUUAAAAAGACUGUGCAAAGGUCACAGGUCUCCUCAAUAUCAGGUAAUACAUAUGAUUAGAAAUAUACUUCCUUACUGAACCAUGAGCUUUAUAGGCAUAUGAAUUUUUAGCUAUGUGAAGUAGAAAACUUAAAUUCUGGUAGACAUUUUCACAUACAUUUAAAGACAGAUUAUCUUAGUCCAAAAUUAUUUUUGUUUUUUUCCAGAAAUUUAGAAAGUGUUCUGCAACUAUAAAUGAACUGUGGGUCAAUCAUGUUUAGUUUAAGAGAUUAUCAAUGCAUGAGUUAUUGAACUGCUAUUGUCCUUAUCUUUAGCUCUUCAAAAUGUCACAGGUGGAAGUGAUGGGGACACGGUGAGCCACGGUAGUGUGGAUAGUUCUAAUGAUGCUAACAAUGGGGAGCACACAGUCUUCGUCAGAGAUUUAAUCAGGCUUGAGUCCAUUGAUAAUCACUCUAGCACAGACAGACUUAUAUGACGUGAAGCUAUGGAUACACGUGUGCAUUAAUUCUACCCUUGAAUGUUAACCACAUCAGGUGGUCAGUCUGACCAAGGAUAUGGGUCUAAGGAUGAACUUAUAAAGGAUGAUGCAGAAAUUCAUGUGCCUGAAGAACAGGCAGCAAGAGAAUUGAUAACUAAAACAAAAAUGCAAACAGAAGAGGUGUGUGAUGCCUCUGCUAUUGCGGCAAAACAUUCACAACCUAGUCCAGAGCCUCACAGUCCUACUGAACCUCCUGCAUGGGGCAGCAGUAUUGUGAAAGUUCCGUCUGGUAUAUUUGAUGUCAACAGCAGGAAAAGUAGCACUGGUAGUAUAUCAAAUGUGCUGUUUUCUACUCAAGAUCCAGUUGAAGAUGCAGUCUUUGGCGAAGCUACUAAUCUCAAGAAGAAUGGUGAUAGAGGAGAAAAAAGACAAAAGCAUUUUCCUGAGAGGAGUUGUAGUUUUAGUUCUGAAAGUCGAGCAGGAAUGUUGCUUAAGAAGAGUAGUUUGGAUUCGAAUUCAAGUGAAAUGGCUAUCAUGAUGGGAGCAGAUGCCAAGAUUCUAACAGCAGCAUUGACAUGUCCUAAGACUUCUCUACUUCAUAUUGCAAGAACCCAUAGCUUUGAGAAUGUUAGCUGUCACCUACCUGAUAGUAGGACUUGUAUGUCUGAAAGCACUUGGAAUCCUGAGCACAGAUCAUCUCCGGUGCCAGAGAUGCUUGAGGAAAGCCAAGAACUCCUUGAGCCUGUGGUUGAUGAUGUACCUAAAACUACUGCAACAGUAGAUACAUAUGAGAGUCUACUAAGUGAUAGUAACAGUAAUCAGUCCAGAGACUUGAAAACAGUAUCCAAAGAUCUGAGGAAUAAGAGAAGUAGUUUAUAUGGUAUUGCUAAGGUGGUUGAGAGGGAAGAUGUUGAAACUGGACUAGAUCCUUUGUCUCUUUUAGCCACUGAAUGUACAGGAGGAAAAACUCCUGAUUCUGAAGAUAAGUUGUUUUCUCCAGUUAUUGCACGUAAUCUGGCUGAUGAAAUAGAAAGCUAUAUGAACCUAAAAAGUCCCCUAGGUAGUAAAUCUUCUAGUAUGGAAUUACACAGAGAGGAAAACAGAGAGUCUGGCAUGACUACUGCAUUUAUUCAUGCUCUAGAGAGGAGAUCAAGCCUACCUUUAGAUCAUGGUUCACCAGCACAGGAAAAUCCUGAAAGUGAAAAGAGCUCACCUGCAGUGUCCAGGUCUAAAACUUUUACUGGGCGUUUCAAGCAGCAAACCCCCUCUCGAACUCAUAAAGAACGUUCAACUUCUUUGUCAGCACUGGUGCGUUCUUCGCCACAUGGCUCGUUGGGUUCUGUAGUAAAUUCUUUGUCAGGGCUAAAGCUGGAUAAUAUACUCUCAGGGCCCAAGAUAGAUGUCCUGAAAUCUGGUAUGAAACAAGCAGCGACAGUGGCCAGUAAGAUGUGGGUAGCUGUUGCGUCUGCCUACAGCUACUCAGAUGAUGAGGAAGAAACUAAUAGAGACUACAGCUUCCCAGCUGGCCUAGAAGACCAUAUUUUGGGGGAGAAUAUAUCGCCUAACACAAGUAUCUCAGGGUUGGUCCCCAGUGAACUUACCCAGAGCAACACAAGUCUUGGCAGUAGCAGCAGUAGUGGAGAUGUAGGAAAACUGCAUUAUCCAACAGGUGAAGUUCCAUUUCCAAGAGGCAUGAAAGGGCAAGACUUUGAAAAAUCAGAUCAUGGUUCUUCUCAAAAUACCAGCAUGUCUAGCAUCUAUCAGAAUUGUGCAAUGGAGGUUUUGAUGUCCAGUUGUUCACAGUGUAGAGCUUGUGGAGCUUUAGUUUAUGAUGAAGAAAUUAUGGCUGGAUGGACAGCAGAUGACUCAAAUUUGAAUACAGCUUGUCCAUUCUGUAAAAGCAACUUCUUGCCUCUUCUCAAUAUAGAAUUCAAAGAUUUGAGAGGUUCUGCAAGCUUUUUCCUGAAACCAAGUACCUCUGGUGACAGUUUACAAAGUGGAAGCAUUCCAUUGGCAAAUGAAUCCUUGGAGCACAAACCUGUAUCCAGUUUAGCAGAACCUGACUUGAUCAACUUUAUGGACUUCCCAAAACAUAACCAGAUCAUAACUGAAGAAACAGGCUCUGCAGUUGAACCAAGUGAUGAAAUAAAGAGAGCCAGUGGAGAUGUCCAAACUAUGAAAAUUUCAUCUGUGCCUAAUAGUUUAUCAAAGCGAAAUGUGUCUUUGACUCGAAGUCACAGUGUUGGAGGCCCAUUGCAGAAUAUUGACUUUACCCAGCGACCGUUUCAUGGCAUCUCAACAGUUAGUCUUCCAAAUAGUCUGCAGGAAGUUGUGGAUCCUUUAGGAAAAAGACCCAAUCCUCCCCCUGUUUCUGUGCCCUACUUGAGUCCUCUAGUACUCCGUAAAGAACUUGAAUCUUUGCUAGAAAAUGAAGGUGAUCAGGUGAUUCAUACAUCUUCCUUCAUCAAUCAACAUCCAAUCAUUUUCUGGAACCUCGUUUGGUAUUUCAGACGUUUGGACCUUCCUAGUAACUUGCCAGGACUUAUCCUCACAUCUGAACAUUGUAAUGAAGGUGUACAGCUUCCUCUGUCAUCUCUGUCCCAGGAUAGCAAACUUGUGUAUAUUCAGCUGUUAUGGGAUAAUAUCAACCUUCAUCAGGAACCAAGAGAACCUCUGUAUGUCUCAUGGAGGAAUUUUAAUUCUGAAAAGAAAUCAUCUCUCCUGUCAGAGGAACAACAAGAAACAAGCACUUUAGUAGAAACCAUCAGGCAGAGUAUUCAACACAAUAAUGUUCUUAAACCCAUCAACCUACUUUCACAGCAAAUGAAGCCAGGCAUGAAAAGACAAAGGAGUUUAUACAGAGAAAUCCUCUUCUUAUCAUUAGUGUCUCUAGGAAGAGAGAACAUUGAUAUUGAGGCAUUUGACAAUGAAUAUGGAAUUGCAUACAAUAGUCUGUCUUCAGAGAUUCUUGAAAGGUUGCAGAAAAUUGAUGCUCCACCAAGUGCCAGUGUCGAGUGGUGCAGGAAGUGUUUUGGAGCGCCUCUCAUUUAAAUAGAGAUUCACUAGAAUUUUGACACACAAGGCUUGGGGAUUAGAUUUCAUCUGGAAACAUUCAAGAUUUUUUUUCCAAAUCGUAAGAACUGGUGAAUACGGAAUUGAAGUAACUCUUGGGGACAAUAUAUAAUGAAUUAUGAUUCAUAUUGCAUUACCUUGAAAUAUGAAGUGCCAUUUGAAUGUCCCAGGGCUUAUUAAUAUUGAAGAUUUUCAACCCCUGAACUGCUUUUCUGCCUCUGUGGAAAACUACUUUGGGAUUCUUCAGUAUUUGUAGUAGUUUGUUUGAUAGAAAUAAUGAGGAACCAUAUUCAUUCUAGGCAUUGUUUAUAUUUGAAGUUACUGAGUUUGAGGAAUGGCAAAUUAAAUUUGCCUAACCCCCAAAACAAAUGAAAUAUCUCAAUUAUAAAAGCAACAUGGCCGGG
RNAcentral lists this small RNA (5967 nucleotides) under Pan troglodytes (chimpanzee). Its description in RNAcentral is "retained intron". Lineage: Eukaryota; Metazoa; Chordata; Mammalia; Primates; Hominidae. The record is from RNAcentral.